GGGCCGCUGGUCUAGUGGUAUGAUUCUCGCUUAGGGUUGUAUCCUGAGCACAAAACUUGCGAGAGGUCCCGGGUUCAAUCCCCGGGUGGCCCC
Non-coding RNA from Lasiosphaeria ovina, 93 nucleotides. NCBI's taxonomy places the organism in Eukaryota, Fungi, Ascomycota, Sordariomycetes, Sordariales, Lasiosphaeriaceae. The record is from the annotation of a GenBank genome assembly.